RNAcentral lists this unclassified non-coding RNA (257 nucleotides) under uncultured fungus. RNAcentral describes it as "partial contains small subunit ribosomal RNA, internal transcribed spacer 1, and 5.8S ribosomal RNA". The stretch from base 1 to 73 matches the Rfam family "Eukaryotic small subunit ribosomal RNA", at positions 1759 to 1831 of the family's 1831-position model. The record is from RNAcentral. Lineage: Eukaryota; Fungi.
UCAAACUUGGUCAUUUAGAGGAAGUAAAAGUCGUAACAAGGUUUCCGUAGGUGAACCUGCGGAAGGAUCAAUACAAAACGGGGCGGGUCGGGGCAGCGGUUGCGCGAGCAGCUGGUUGCCGGCGGGCCCGCCACAUGUGCCCGGACCGGUGCGGUCCGCGACAUUUGCGCGUGUACAGUCAGACAGAGUGGUGGUUGGUGAACGGAACAACUUUUAACAAUGGAUCUCUUGGCUCCUGCAUCGAUGAAGAACGCAGC